Molecule: long non-coding RNA, 173 nt
Organism: Periophthalmus magnuspinnatus
Lineage: Eukaryota; Metazoa; Chordata; Actinopteri; Gobiiformes; Gobiidae
Exons: 3
Source: RefSeq, a predicted model, not a curated record
GAGUCUGAAGCUGGAGGACACUGAGGACGCUCUGUCUAAACUCAAGCACAAAUCAGACGAUCUGGAGGGCGGAGUCGCACUGGGCCUGCGGCAGCUCCACCUGCUCUCCUCAGAGGUGAGCGAGAGGCUAAACUCAACAGAGGGGGCGCUGCAGCGGCUCCAGGAACAGGCAC